ACGUGUAAGAGAGAAGGCGCGUGAGGGUGAAGACACCGAUCAUGUACCCUCUACAGGUGCCGAAAGGGGCAGACGAAAACGCCGCCGCCCAAAGGGCCACCACGAAACUCCUGAACUCCAAGAACCCAGUAAGAAGACCUGCUGAAUUAAGGAGCUACAGCCCAGCAGCCUGUUCGAAACCAGGUUUAUCAAGGUCGAUACCUGUAAUGGACGUUACUCGGAGGCACUCAUAUUUAAUGUUGAUUGCUAGCUUGUCUAGUCGUGUUUACUUUUUGCAAUAAAAAAUGUUAUUGCUGUA
Long non-coding RNA from Dermacentor silvarum, 298 nucleotides. RefSeq lists it as uncharacterized. NCBI's taxonomy places the organism in Eukaryota, Metazoa, Arthropoda, Arachnida, Ixodida, Ixodidae. The transcript has 2 exons. The record is from RefSeq and is a predicted model, not a curated record.